This 280-nucleotide ribosomal RNA is filed under the name uncultured bacterium. RNAcentral's name for it is "partial 16S ribosomal RNA". It matches the Rfam family "Bacterial small subunit ribosomal RNA", at positions 1092 to 1373 of the family's 1533-position model. The record is from RNAcentral.
ACGAGCGCACCCUUUUCCUUACUUGCCAGCAUUUCGGAUGGGAACUUUAAGGAUACUGCCAGUGACAAACUGGAGGAAGGCGGGGACGACGUCAAGUCAUCAUGGCCCUUACGGCCAGGGCUACACACGUGCUACAAUGGUCGGUACAAAGGGUUGCUACCUAGCGAUAGGAUGCUAAUCUCAAAAAGCCGAUCGUAGUCCGGAUUGGAGUCUGCAACUCGACUCCAUGAAGUCGGAAUCGCUAGUAAUCGCGGAUCAAAAUGCCGCGGUGAAUACGUUC